Molecule: ribosomal RNA, 303 nt
Filed under: uncultured bacterium
Lineage: Bacteria
Description: partial 16S ribosomal RNA
Rfam family: Bacterial small subunit ribosomal RNA
Source: RNAcentral
AGCAGUAGCCGCGGUAAUACGUAGGGUGCAAGCGUUAAUCGGAAUUACUGGGCGUAAAGCGUGCGCAGGCGGUUAUAUAAGACAGAUGUGAAAUCCCCGGGCUCAACCUGGGAACUGCAUUUGUGACUGUAUAGCUAGAGUACGGCAGAUGGGGAUGGAAUUCCGCGUGUAGCAGUGAAAUGCGUAGAUAUGCGGAGGAACACCGAUGGCGAAGGCAAUCCCCUGGGCCUGUACUGACGCUCAUGCACGAAAGCGUGGGGAGCAAACAGGAUUAGAUACCCCCGUAGUCCCUGUCUCUUAUAC